CAGCUGAAGUCAUCUCAAGUCUGUGUUGCCUCCAGUUUCCUACCACAUGCUGUGGGACUACUGACCUCUUCAAGAUGCUAUCGCUCCCAUCACACUGUUCUCCAAAAGUUCGUAAGGUUGGAUGGUGGAGAGAAGGAAAUGUUCUCCUUGCUGCUCAAACCCCUGGUGGGCAACAGCAGUCCAGAGAUGAAGCUGCAAAUUCAAGAUUUUACUGAAUGUUCUGCUAUAAAGGAAGUCAGACAACAUAAAUACUAAUUUAAAUUGUUACCAAAUAUAAUUAUUCUUAAAGCUUACAUGUCAAGUUACAUCCUCAGAUUGCUUUAAAGACGUUUCCUGUCUACUGCUCAGUCUUCUUCCAAUUGGUUGGACCCCUUCCUCACACCAUAUACAAAAUUAAUUUGACAUGGACCAUAUACCUAAACAUAAAAGCUAAACUAUGAAGAUUUUGAAAGAAAAUACAUAGAAUAUCUUUGCAAACUUAGAACAAGCAAAGACUUCUUAAAGAUAACACAAGCAAUUCAAACUACUGAAGAAAAAAAAGAUAAAUUGGAUUUAUCAAAAUUAAACAUGUCUACUCAUCAGAAAAUAAUACUAUUUAGAAAAUUAAAAAUUCAAUAAACUGGGGAAAAUAUGUGCAAUACAGAUAUCUGACAAAGGAAUUUAUCUAAAAUUUGUAAAGAAUUCCUAUAACUGAUAACAAAAAGUCAAAUAACCCAAUUUUAAAUGAGCAAACCUUUAAUAGACAUUUCACAAA
RNAcentral lists this long non-coding RNA (754 nucleotides) under Equus asinus (donkey). RNAcentral describes it as "lncRNA (ENSEASG00005024740.1)". The record is from RNAcentral. Lineage: Eukaryota; Metazoa; Chordata; Mammalia; Perissodactyla; Equidae.